Molecule: ribosomal RNA, 255 nt
Filed under: uncultured bacterium
Lineage: Bacteria
Description: partial 16S ribosomal RNA
Rfam family: Bacterial small subunit ribosomal RNA
Source: RNAcentral
GUCCACGCCGUAAACGAUGGAUACUAGCUGUUGGGAGUAAUCUCAGUGGCUAAGCGAAAGUGAUAAGUAUCCCACCUGGGGAGUACGUUCGCAAGAAUUAAACUCAAAGGAAUUGACGGGGGCCCGCACAAGCUGUGGAGCAUGUGGUUUAAUUCGAUGAUACGCGAGGAACCUUACCAAGGCUUAAAUGUAGAUUGACCGAUUUGGAAACAGAUCUUUCGCAAGACAAUUUACAAGGUGCUGCAUGGUUGUCGU